Molecule: long non-coding RNA, 3797 nt
Organism: Gasterosteus aculeatus aculeatus (three-spined stickleback)
Lineage: Eukaryota; Metazoa; Chordata; Actinopteri; Perciformes; Gasterosteidae
Source: Ensembl
GGUGCCGCUGUUGUAGGUGCAGCAGUUGUAGGUGCAGCUGUUGUAGGCGCAGCUGUUGUGGGUGCUGCAGUUGUAGGUGCAGCUGUUGUGGGUGCAGCUGUUGUGGGUGCAGCAGUUGUAGGCGCAGCAGUUGUAGGUGCAGCAGUUGUAGGUGCAGCUGUUGUGGGUGCAGCUGUUGUGGGUGCCGCUGUUGUAGGUGCAGCAGUUGUAGGUGCAGCUGUUGUAGGCGCAGCAGUUGUAGGCGCUGCAGUUGUAGGCGCAGCAGUUGUAGGUGCUGCAGUUGUAGGUGCAGCAGUUGUAGGUGCUGCAGUUGUAGGUGCAGCAGUUGUUGGUGCAGCUGUUGUAGGUGCUGCAGUUGUAGGUGCAGCUGUUGUAGGUGCAGCAGUUGUAGGUGCAGCUGUUGUGGGUGCAGCUGUUGUAGGUGCAGCAGUUGUAGGUGCUGCGGUUGUAGGUGCAGCAGUUGUAGGUGCUGCAGUUGUAGGUGCAGCUGUUGUCGUCGUUGUUGCACCUGGACUUGUUACUGCUAUUUCAAGAAAUAUUAAAUGAUUACCGACACAAAGCUUACAUUUUACUUGUGUCAUUGUGAUUCAUAUCUGAUGCUUAGCUUACCCAUUAUAACCAGGAAGAUUAAUAUAAUCCGUGCCACAGCCAUCUUUUUUGUUUUGAAUCCCUACAAAUUGAUCAACGUAGGGGUUCAGUCACAUAGGUACAUGAUGAAAGCUUCCAUGUAUUUGAAACUUUUUAAGUUGCAUACUGUAUUCAGUUUGAACAUGACUAUGGUCAUUGUAGCAGUACGUUCAACUUACACAACAUUCAAAGGGAAACAUAUAUAUUUUUCAAAACAGUGUCUCAAAAUAUUCUAAUCCUGAGUGACAGAGAUUCUAUACUUUGAGACAAGGUAUGGAAUACAACACACGUUUAACAGGAAACAAAAUCCGAAUUUUAUAAUAUGUUAUUGUUUUGUAGCUAAAGUAGUCAAUAUAUAUACAUGUGCAAUGCUAAGAAAAAAAUAAAACGCUUGUUCCAUAAACGUGAUGAAGAGAUAAAAAAACUAAUAGAACUGGAUUAAAAAAUGAAUAUCAGAAAAAGACAAUAUCCCACGAAAUGUUAAAAAAAUGUUAGUAAUAAGUGAAAAUCUCUUCUGUAAUCUUCAAUCAAAGUAAAGCAAUGAAAUACAUAAAUAUCUUCAAAAAAUCUGAACGUAUGUAUAGACACAUUCAAACUCUUUCUCUUUAUCUCUCUCUUUGACACACAUGCAGAGACUAUAAAUAUACAGAAAUCUGUUUAUUGACUUAAAAAUAUACUUACAGGAAUCUAUCAGAUGAAGACCAGAGAUGAAAGGUUGUGAAUUCCCCUUUCUUGCUUACUUUGCACCUGGGAUGUUGGAAACCUUACACUUGAUGUGACAAAUCACAUAAAUUACAGUCUUUUAUAGGGACACGAUCGAAAGCCAAAGACGUCACUCCCGAGUUAAUUAUCGUAAGCUAUAAUUUCUUUCGGAUUCUUGGCUAAGUGUUUCCUUCUUUUGAUCUAUUAAAACAAGUCUCAUUCCAUUUACUUAAAAGGAGAAGGAAGCUCCAUCCACGUCACAGUAAGUUAGAAUAAAAAAUAUGUCUAAAGUAUUUUAUAAAAAUAUAUGACAAAAGUACAAAACAAUAAUCCCCAUUGAAGCUUAGCUACUUAUAGACUGAAAAAGGUUUAUUAGAUCAAUAUUUUUUGGUAAGAAGUGGUUAUAUUUAGUACAUAGUGAAUAUCAUCUGUUAAUUAGAUUAGAUUUCGUAAUUUAACUAAUGCAGCAUAUUUUAAUAACAAGUAAACAGCAGCUGCAUAAUAUAGUCAUCACCUCGUUAAAUGUUACAUAUUUAAAGGACCUUCAAUGUACUUCUGAAGCAGUUCCAUGAUAAUCCUGGCUAAUAUGAAGUAUGAAAGUAUUAUAUAUGAUUUCAUUUUUAGUUUUUUUUUACUCCUCAUACUUUUAGGAAGAAAACUAUUUAAAUCAACUUGACCUGUAAAAACAACAUCAAAUGCAUUCAUCGAUUGAUGACAAUUUUAUUGAAGCUUUUGACCAAAUUGAUAUUAGCCCAUUGAUUGUGAUUAACUUUGAGACACAACUACGGAUUAGUUUUUCAUGAAAACAAGAUUCUAUAUCCUUUCUACACUGGCAGUGGAGGUUACAACAGAACAUUUUAGCUAAAACUAAACGUUUUUCUCAUUUGUGUUUAUGUGUUUUCACUCAUUUAAAUGUUUCUUUUCAAUUUUACUCGUUUCUUUCAACGUCAGCUUAUGUUAUGCCGCAAAUAAUGAAUACGCAGUGAUCAUCUGUCACCCUAUUCUAUGAUGCUAUGCUUAGCUUUUACUCUUAGUGAUGUCUUUGUUAACAAAGACUAUCCCUGUGGUUUUCUUUUGUCUUGUACUUCCUGGUGAUCAACCGUCAACAAUCCUUCGAUUAAAUUGUUGGUUCAUUGCAGGUUGGUUUCGUCUUCCAUUGCCAAUACUCUUAGUUAAGUUCUUGUAGGUUUUCAUUAAUUAGACUAAAGACAAUUUUCCUACAACUCAACAGCAGAGAUAUAGCCACAGCAAUGACUCAGCAAAUCUAUGACCUUGUAUGACCUUAGAGGACUUAUCAAAGUUACAAGACAAGACAUACCUGAUGCAUGAGGUGUAAUGUGUUGUAUAAUCUGCUAAUAAGAUAAUGGCCAAAAAUAUAUUCAUGAUAGUUUGGCUUAUUGUGAAACAUGCAAUGUGUUACACUAUAUAUUAGGGGUGUAACGAUUCGAUUCAAAUCGCGAUUCAUGGUUGCCGAUUUGAUUCAUGGACGAUCUGGGUUAAUUUAGAACGAUUCGAUUUGAUUCAGUGACUUGAAAUCAAUUCAGUAACUUUACUGGACAGUGCAGGCAAAGUUUCUGAGAUCCCUGUUGUUUCUUGUAAGGAAAUCAGGUUUAAAUUAAUUAUGGAUAUUAUAAACAAGCAAACGACAAUUAAUGGCAAAUGUAUUAACCUUUUAUUUGAAUCAAGUGCCAUUUUCAAUGUAAACAUUACACAAUAAUUACACAAUGUUUGGAUCAAUUCACAGAACCCCGGAUUUUCAACCACAUUGUAGGGUCGCAUGUCUUUACAGCUAAACUUGGCAAUUGUUACUGUGAUGCUGAGUUUUGUGCUGGCGAGGCCUGAGGUGUCUGCAGAGCUGCAGUUACCUGCUGCUGCUGCAGCGGUGACGCUGCUACAGGCGCCUGACUGUCGGCGUUGUUUAAUCCCACGGCGCCUUAGUAGAUGGCUGGAAAGAUUUGUCGUGUUUCCGUGUUUUUUAUUUGGCUUCUACACAUUCUACAAACAGCGACAGACUUAUUUAGAACACCUCCGUGUUUGCAAAAGCCAAAAUGUUCCCGCACGCUGGAUCGAUAAGUUGGUUUGUAAAUGUCUUGCUCGCAGUCGUCUCCUCCACGCUGUGUUUUGUUGUUGUUCAGAGUUUCGCGCGGCUGCCACUUCGUACUGAAGACGUCACAGUCAGGCAGACUGAAUCCAGUAACGUUCAACGUGUUUAAAGUGCUAAAAAACAAACAAACAAACACGCAUCCAUACCGUUUUUGUACUUAAAUCCAAUGUGCAGUUUCCAAGUAUCGAUACAAUCGAUUAUGUACCAUUUCAAUCGAUUUGUAAUCGAUAUAUGUUGUCCUGAAUACCGAUUUGCGGAGCACAGAUCGAUUCAGUUGGAUCGCAGGAAUAUAAAUCAAUUAAUCGAUUCAGUGAAUGAAUCGUUACACCUCUACUAUAUAUAUAUAUAUAUAUAUAUAUAUAUA